This 483-nucleotide ribosomal RNA is filed under the name uncultured bacterium. RNAcentral's name for it is "partial 16S ribosomal RNA". It matches the Rfam family "Bacterial small subunit ribosomal RNA", at positions 28 to 506 of the family's 1533-position model. The record is from RNAcentral.
AUUGAACGCUGGCGGCAUGCUUUACACAUGCAAGUCGAACGGCAGCGCGGGCUUCGGCCUGGCGGCGAGUGGCGAACGGGUGAGUAAUGCAUCGGAACGUGCCCAGUAGUGGGGGAUAGCCCGGCGAAAGCCGGAUUAAUACCGCAUACGACCUGAGGGUGAAAGCGGGGGACCGAAAGGCCUCGCGCUAUUGGAGCGGCCUAUGUCGGAUUAGCUAGUUGGUGGGGUAAAGGCUUACCAAGGCGACGAUCCGUAGCUGGUCUGAGAGGACGACCAGCCACACUGGGACUGAGACACGGCCCAGACUCCUACGGGAGGCAGCAGUGGGGAAUUUUGGACAAUGGGGGCAACCCUGAUCCAGCCAUGCCGCGUGCGGGAAGAAGGCCUUCGGGUUGUAAACCGCUUUUGUUCGGGAAGAAAUCCUCUGGGCUAAUACCCCGGGGGGAUGACGGUACCGGAAGAAUAAGCACCGGCUAACUACGU